RNAcentral lists this ribosomal RNA (183 nucleotides) under Triticum aestivum (bread wheat). RNAcentral describes it as "partial small subunit ribosomal RNA". Lineage: Eukaryota; Viridiplantae; Streptophyta; Magnoliopsida; Poales; Poaceae. The record is from RNAcentral.
AUGAACCGUGGCCACCUACCUGCUUUGGUUGGUGGGGGCGGCUCCUCCGUUGUGGGUAAACGGGAAACCCGACUCUACGAACCCGAGGAAAGGCUGCACAGCUUCCGUAGGGGCGUUAAGACCGGAGCUUUUUGUAGUGCUAGCAGGAAUGCAAGUGAAGGAAUCCAAUCCCAUCCCCUUUAA